UCCGUGGUGGCUUAGAUGGUAAAGUGUCUGCCUACAAUGUGGGAGACCCAGGUUCAAUCCCUGGGUUGGGAA
RNAcentral lists this transfer RNA (72 nucleotides) under Bos taurus (domestic cattle). It matches the Rfam family "tRNA". From Rfam's summary of the family: Transfer RNA (tRNA) molecules are approximately 80 nucleotides in length. Their secondary structure includes four short double-helical elements and three loops (D, anti-codon, and T loops). The record is from Rfam by way of RNAcentral. Lineage: Eukaryota; Metazoa; Chordata; Mammalia; Artiodactyla; Bovidae.